UAGUAAAAUUUUUUUUCUCAUGAGUCAAAGUUUAUUUCCCUUUUGGCUUUUGCUUUCAACUUUCAAGUUUCAACCUUUCAGUCUCUCAUCAUCUCACACAAGCAUCUUCUAGCUUUCUGUAAACCUCUUCAUCUUUCGAUUUUCAGAAAACCUCAUCACUCAGUGUCUCCAUCGAUAACAUCAGCAUCUAGUAGACUCCUUCUACCUUUCAAGAUCGAGCACUUCCUCUGUUCCAUUUCAGUCACGAAUCAUCUUUACUUUCAGUUCCAGGGCACUUCUAUUUGUCUAGCAUUCGUGUUUGAAGGCGUUGAGUAAAACAACAACAACACAAGACAUAUCAAGUUUAAUAUGACAAGAGUAAAACCAUCCAGAGCAAGUCGAGCUUCAUCGCAAGCAUCUACAACUAGCAUGAUGGCUUCUUCUACACAUACAUUCAUUAAGAGAAAGUUGGUGCAAAUUGAAGCACUUAUACCUACUUAACCGGUUAGAAUAAAUGAUGUGAAUGUUGAUAUGGCUAUAAUAAGAGAUUUUGAUGUUUCAUCUUCAACUGAAGAAGAUGAAGCAAUUGUAUGUAUUAAAGGACAAACAAAAGCACCAUCUUCUAUUAUUCCAUGUAAUAAGAGGAGGAAAACAUCAACUAUUUGGGAGUUUUUUCCAUAAGAAAUGUUUGUUACUAUUGGAGAUGCUACAUAUGCAAUAUGCAAACAUUGUAAGAAAAAGUUGAAAUUACAAAAGACCAAGGCUACUACCCAUUUGACAUGACAUAUGGGUCAAUGUGUUGAUAGGAAAAAAGCAAUGAGGAAGGAUUUAGUCGUGAGGGGACAAACUAUAUUGGGUUUUGAGCGUUCAAACUUAGGGUUACCUAUUCCAACCAUAGUGAAAACAAACAUGAAUUAUGAGCAUCCCAAGGUUCAAAAGGCUUUGGCUCACCUGGUUAUGAUUCUGAAUUAUCGUUUAAUAUAGUCAAACAUCCUAACUUCAUUAAUUUUUGUCACAUUCUUCAACCUUUUUACGAAAAAGUUAGAAGGAAACAAGUAAAAGUUGAUUGCAUUAAGGCUUAUCAAGUAGAGUCUAUGAUGUUGAAGUAAACUUUUGAGGAGAAAUUAGUAUUACUACUAAUCUUUGGAAGUUAAAUCAUCAAAAUAUUGAGUAUAUGGUAAUCAUGACACAUUGGGUAGACUAGUUGUGGUUCCUAAAUAAAUGAAUUAUAAAUUUUGUGCACCUACCUCCACCUAGGAAAGGAAUAGACAUUGUAGCAACAAUUUUUUAGUGUUUAAAGGGUUGAGGGAUUGAAAAUAAGAUAAAAUCAACUUUGCAAAAUGUUUUUAAGAAUACAUGUAUAAUUUUAUUGUAUGUAAUUUCAUUAAUAUUCAUUAAUUAUAUUUGUAAGUGGAAACUAUCAUAGUAGACAAUGCAACUACAAAUGAGAGUUGCAUUAAAAAAUUGAAGGAAUAUUUUCAAAUACAGAGACUUUUGUGGUAUGAUGGAAAACUUUUCCAUGUUAGGUGCACUACUCAUAUUGUAAAU
Molecule: long non-coding RNA, 1527 nt
Organism: Mangifera indica (mango)
Lineage: Eukaryota; Viridiplantae; Streptophyta; Magnoliopsida; Sapindales; Anacardiaceae
Exons: 3
Source: RefSeq, a predicted model, not a curated record